RNAcentral lists this ribosomal RNA (379 nucleotides) under uncultured cyanobacterium. RNAcentral's name for it is "bacterial SSU rRNA". It matches the Rfam family "Bacterial small subunit ribosomal RNA", at positions 376 to 770 of the family's 1533-position model. The record is from RNAcentral. Lineage: Bacteria; Bacillati; Cyanobacteriota.
CGAAAGCCUGACGGAGCAACGCCGCGUGAGGGAUGAAGGCCUCUGGGCUGUAAACCUCUUUUCUCAAGGAAGAAGAUCUGACGGUACUUGAGGAAUAAGUCACGGCUAAUUCCGUGCCAGCAGCCGCGGUAAUACGGGAGUGGCAAGCGUUAUCCGGAAUUAUUGGGCGUAAAGCGUCCGCAGGCGGCCUUGUAAGUCUGCCGUUAAAGCGUGGAGCUCAACUCCAUUUCAGCGGUGGAAACUACAAGGCUUGAGUGUGGUAGGGCCAGAGGGAAUUCCCGGUGUAGCGGUGAAAUGCGUAGAUAUCGGGAAGAACACCAGUGGCGAAGGCGCUCUGCUGGGCCAUAACUGACGCUCAUGGACGAAAGCCAGGGGAGCG